RNAcentral lists this ribosomal RNA (278 nucleotides) under uncultured Oscillospiraceae bacterium. RNAcentral describes it as "partial 16S ribosomal RNA". It matches the Rfam family "Bacterial small subunit ribosomal RNA", at positions 511 to 788 of the family's 1533-position model. The record is from RNAcentral. Lineage: Bacteria; Bacillati; Bacillota; Clostridia; Eubacteriales; Oscillospiraceae.
GCAGCCGCGGUAAUACGUAGGUGGCGAGCGUUAUCCGGAAUUACUGGGUGUAAAGGGUGUGUAGGCGGGAUGUCAAGUCAGGUGUGAAAUUCACGGGCUCAACUUGUGAACUGCACUUGAAACUGAUAUUCUUGAGAGUGGGAGAGGUAAACGGAAUUCCUGGUGUAGUAGUGAAAUGCGUAGAUAUCAGGAGGAACACCGGUGGCGAAGGCGGUUUACUGGACCACAACUGACGCUGAGACACGAAAGCGUGGGGAGCAAACAGGAUUAGAUACCCC